GCCUGCAGCAGGGCUCUCCGAUUCUGGAAGCUGGCGUCCCUUGCUGGGGCUUCAAUGACUCCACUAGGAGCCAGUCUCCUGAGGCCUUCCCCUGAGGGCUUGGACCUCUGACUGAUUCUCUGAAACAGGAGCCCAGGAGAGGGCCACAUGAGAAAAAAAAAUACUCUAUGGAAAAUGACUGUUGUCACAGCAAAGGAAAUGUAAUGGACCUCUGAAUUGGGGGAAGAAAAAUCUUUGCAGUGGUGCCUAUUGGAAAUGACACUCAGAAUAAGCAUCUUUUCUUUUUUUCCGUUGAAAUAAAGUUCAAGAGCUUGAAGUGUUUUGAAAGAAAAUGGUGCAUUAAAAAUAUGGGCAUAUCUUAAAUGAAUAUUCUUGGACUGUUCUCCAAUAUUCAACAUUGUAAAGCCCACAGGAAAAUUGGAAGACAUGUCAAAUGAAGGUAAGAAAGUGAAAGUAAAUCAUGUGAAGACGAGAUACAUUGGAAUAAAGGAUCCAUUAAUGGAUUGACUGACUCAAUGCAGUCUAGGACUGGCUGACUCUGCUAUGUAAGGCAUUGGGCAAGAGAUGAUUGGUCAGGUAGUAAAGUCACGUUCUUCAGAAAAGUCUCUCUUCACAGGCUCUUCUCAAAUUGGAGAAAAAAAUUAGAAGCAUAAUCAACAUCCUUAUUUAGCAUGAUAAUUACUGGCUAGUUAUUCAAAAGAACCUAAUCAGGUAAGAGUUUAUCAUAAGCAUAUUUAUUCAGCUAUUAUUCUAUCACUAUGGUUGUUUAUUAAGGCAGUCUUCUCAGUAUAUUUAAUAACGUCUAUGUAUACAUAAGGGCAUUGGUUUUCGUGAGCUUAUUUCUUUACAUAAGAAAAGCUUUCAUAGAAAAUGUAUAUGUGUUCACCAGAGAUUAAUACAUUAUGUUGUGACUGUUUCAGAGAAAAGUCCAUUCCAAUCAGUAGUCCUAUUAAUACAGAUAUUAUGCUCAAAAAAUUUCAGAAAAGAGAUUUUAUCUACUUGUUUAAUUUAUUACAGCUUUACUGAGGUAUAAUUGACAUUCAACAAGCUGUGUGUAUUUAAAGUAUGAUAUCUGAUACAUUUUGCAUAUAUAUACACCCCUGAAGCCAUCACCCCAUUCAAUAUAGUGAGUAUAUGCAUCACCCCCAAAGGUCUUCUCAUGCCCCUUUGUAAUCUAUCUUGACACCCCCCCCCCCACACACACACUCUUCUGCAGCAACCACUGCUGUUUUCUGUCACUAUAGUUCUGUCUGGCUUCUUUCACUGAGUAUAAUUAUUUUGAGAUUUGUCCAUGUUACUGCAUGUAUCAAUAGUACAUUCUCUCCUCUUGCUGUUAAGUAUUCCACCUUUGGAUGAGUGCACCUCACUUUGUUCCACUGUUUGAAGAGCAUUUUGGUUUCUAAUUUGGGGCUUUUGCAAAGAAAUUUCUAUAUUUUAAAUGUCUUGGUAUGGACAUAUGCUUCCAUUUUACAGGUUAAUGCCUAGGAGUAGAAUGUUGUAGUUUUUGAGAACAGACAGACUAUUUUCCAAAGUACCAUUUUACGUUGUGAAAGUGUAGGGUACCCCCAGCAGUAUGUGAGAGUUUCAGUUCCUUUACAUUCUCAAUAACACUUCCUAUGGUCCGUAGUUUUCAUGUUAGCCAUUUUAAUGAGUGUGUAGUUAUAGUUCAGUAGGAGUUCAGGUAAGUGAUCUUAAAGACUUCCUUGCUGGGGAAAUGGGAAGGUAACCACACAAAUUUAGUUUUCUUUUGCUUUCUUCCCUGCUCUAGAUAUUUCAAAUUGAACAUCUAUUUUCAAACCUUUUUCUCUGCCCUACCAUAGUCAAGAAAUUUCACUCACCUCUCCCCUUUGAUUCUUGGGGGCAAUCGUGUGCCCUUAAAGGAGCUACAACAAGAAUUAGAAGUGCCCUGGGGCAAGGUAAAAGGUGGCCCAUGUAAUCAAUCAUAUCUGCUUCAGUGAACUGUAAUGUCCCUGUGUACAGGAAAACAUCUUCAGUGAGGCAGACUUAUUUCCAUGAAGUCCUUAACAUUUGGGGGGAUAGAAAGCUGUUCCGACAUUUGCUUCUAUGAGGCUCAGUCAUAUCUACUCUUCUUGGGUGUGUAGUCAAUUGUAUUGUGCAGUUAUGGUAGCAUGUACAAAUGGAAGAAUAGGUAGAUCAGAAGACCACCUAUCUUUUUUUUUUUUUAAAUGCUAUUAAUAAUUCAGGCUAAGGAACAAGGUCAGUUGCAUAUUAUCCAACAUUACAAUAGCCAUUUAAAAAAUACCGAAUAGUGGCCACUGUCCUGGGUUUCAUUAAGAUUUAUUCCCCCCAAAUCAAGGAAAGUAAAUGGCUUGGAGAUAGACAUGUGACCUUGAGGAACCAUUUCCAAGAGACACAAAGGAAAACAACUUACUAGUGACAGCAUUAGGGAAAGUAGCUAUAACGUCACCAAAUAAUAAUUGUCAAAAAAACUGUUACAAAUCCCAAGUACAUGCAACUUUAUAGGGAAGUUGUUUUAUAAUCAGUUUUAUGUUUUCUGUUUUCAUUGAAGUUUAGAUAUGAACCUAGGAUUUUAUUUAGCUACUGAGAAGGUAAGAUUAAGUCUUUAAGAUACGUGCUCUUCUUUGUGCACAUUCCCAUAUGUCAUUACAAACUACUCUCAAACAACACACAGGAGAAAUGGGAAAAAUCUCUAGUCAAUCUCACCCUUCAGAAAAUUAUUCCUGAAUUAUAUGUGAUAUAGUGGACACCACAAACUCUAAGAGUCUGAUCUACAUCUAAGUAUCUACUUUUUUUUUUUUAAGGCCAUAGGUGCAGCCCAUGGCAGUUCUUAAGCUAGGGGUUGAAUCAGAGCUGCAGUUGCUGGUCUACACCACAGCCACAGCAAC
This is a non-coding RNA of Sus scrofa (pig), 2867 nucleotides long. NCBI's taxonomy places the organism in Eukaryota, Metazoa, Chordata, Mammalia, Artiodactyla, Suidae. The record is from RefSeq and is a predicted model, not a curated record.